RNAcentral lists this ribosomal RNA (274 nucleotides) under uncultured bacterium. RNAcentral describes it as "partial 16S ribosomal RNA". It matches the Rfam family "Bacterial small subunit ribosomal RNA", at positions 523 to 796 of the family's 1533-position model. The record is from RNAcentral.
AUACGGAGGGUGCAAGCGUUAUCCGGAAUCAUUGGGUUUAAAGGGUCCGUAGGCGGGCAAAUAAGUCAGAGGUGAAAUCCCACAGCUCAACUGUGGAACUGCCUUUGAUACUGUUUGUCUUGAGUUAUAGUGAAGUAGAUAGAAUAUGUAGUGUAGCGGUGAAAUGCAUAGAUAUUACAUAGAAUACCGAUUGCGAAGGCAGUCUACUAACUAUUGCCUGACGCUAAUGGACGAAAGCGUGGGGAGCGAACAGGAUUAGAAACCCGAGUAGUCC